UGGGGGGACCAUCCUCCAAGGCUAAAUACUCCUGACUGACCGAUAGUGAACCAGUACCGUGAGGGAAAGGCGAAAAGAACCCCGGCGAGGGGAGUGAAAAAGAACCUGAAACCGUGUACGUACAAGCAGUGGGAGCCUCUUAAUGGGGUGACUGCGUACCUUUUGUAUAAUGGGUCAGCGACUUAUAUUCUGUAGCAAGGUUAACCGAAUAGGGGAGCCGAAGGGAAACCGAGUCUUAACUGGGCGUUAAGUUGCAGGGUAUAGACCCGAAACCCGGUGAUCUAGCCAUGGGCAGGUUGAAGGUUGGGUAACACUAACUGGAGGACCGAACCGACUAAUGUUGAAAAAUUAGCGGAUGACUUGUGGCUGGGGGUGAAAGGCCAAUCAAACCGGGAGAUAGCUGGUUCUCCCCGAAAGCUAUUUAGGUAGCGCCUCGUGAAUUCAUCUCCGGGGGUAGAGCACUGUUUCGGCAAGGGGGUCAUCCCGACUUACCAACCCGAUGCAAACUGCGAAUACCGGAGAAUGUUAUCACGGGAGACACACGGCGGGUGCUAACGUCCGUCGUGAAGAGGGAAACAACCCAGACCGCCAGCUAAGGUCCCAAAGUCAUGGUUAAGUGGGAAACGAUGUGGGAAGGCCCAGACAGCCAGGAUGUUGGCUUAGAAGCAGCCAUCAUUUAAAGAAAGCGUAAUAGCUCACUGGUCGAGUCGGCCUGCGCGGAAGAUGUAACGGGGCUAAACCAUGCACCGAAGCUGCGGCAGCGACGCUUAUGCGUUGUUGGGUAGGGGAGCGUUCUGUAAGCCUGUGAAGGUGUGCUGUGAGGCAUGCUGGAGGUAUCAGAAGUGCGAAUGCUGACAUAAGUAACGAUAAAGCGGGUGAAAAGCCCGCUCGCCGGAAGACCAAGGGUUCCUGUCCAACGUUAAUCGGGGCAGGGUGAGUCGAC
This 943-nucleotide ribosomal RNA is filed under the name Escherichia coli. RNAcentral describes it as "partial 23S ribosomal RNA". It matches the Rfam family "Bacterial large subunit ribosomal RNA", at positions 445 to 1388 of the family's 2925-position model. The record is from RNAcentral. Lineage: Bacteria; Pseudomonadati; Pseudomonadota; Gammaproteobacteria; Enterobacterales; Enterobacteriaceae.